UAUCUCUGUAGAGUCUGCAUAUCAAUAAGCGGAGGAAAAGAAACUAACAAGGAUUCCCUUAGUAACGGCGAGUGAAGCGGGAAGAGCUCAAAUUUGAAAUCUUCAAGGUUCUACCUUGACGAAUUGUAGUUUAAAGAAGUGUUUUCUGUUAGAUGAGUAGCAAAAGUUCCUUGGAAUGGGACAUCAUAGAGGGUGAGAAUCCCGUAUUUGGUUAUUCAUUCUAGCUUUGUGAUACACUUUCAAAGAGUCGGAUUGUUUGGGAAUGCAGUCCAAAAUGGGUGGUAAAUUUCAUCUAAAGCUAAAUAUUGGCGAGAGACCGAUAGCGAACAAGUACCGUGAGGGAAAGAUGAAAAGAACUUUGAAAAGAGAGUUAAACAGUACGUGAAAUUGUCAAAAGGGAAGCGUUUGACACCAGUGUUGUUUUUCCGAAAAUCAAUUACGAAUGGCUUGAUUCUGUGUUGUAUUGACCUUAUCAGCUUUCUUCACUUUUUUCGAGUCUUUCUUAAUGCACUUUUCGGUUAACAAGUCAACAUCAAUUUCUUUUGUUGUAAAAGAGUAUUCGGAAGGUGGCUUUCUUUUCGGAGAAAGUGUUUAUAGCCCUAUACUUCUACAAUCGGAGAGAUUGAGGUCUGCAGCGUAGAUCCUUCGGGGUUAGAUACACUUGUGCUAAGUUGUAGCUUUUCAUAGACAACUUGUUGACUAUGUUUAGUCAUGCGGCUUACUCGCUUGUGCUAUUUUACCUACGCUUAGGAUGUUGAAGAUGUAGCACAUCAU
Molecule: ribosomal RNA, 774 nt
Filed under: uncultured Neocallimastigales
Lineage: Eukaryota; Fungi; Neocallimastigomycota; Neocallimastigomycetes; Neocallimastigales
Description: partial large subunit ribosomal RNA
Rfam family: Eukaryotic large subunit ribosomal RNA
Source: RNAcentral